Molecule: ribosomal RNA, 497 nt
Filed under: uncultured bacterium
Lineage: Bacteria
Description: partial 16S ribosomal RNA
Rfam family: Bacterial small subunit ribosomal RNA
Source: RNAcentral
GAUGAACGCUGGCGGCGCGCCUAAUACAUGCAAGUCGAGCGAACAGACGAGGAGCUUGCUCCUCUGACGUUAGCGGCGGACGGGUGAGUAACACGUGGAUAACCUACCUAUAAGACUGGGAUAACUUCGGGAAACCGGAGCUAAUACCGGAUAAUAUAUUGAACCGCAUGGUUCAAUAGUGAAAGACGGUUUUGCUGUCACUUAUAGAUGGAUCCGCGCCGCAUUAGCUAGUUGGUAAGGUAACGGCUUACCAAGGCAACGAUGCGUAGCCGACCUGAGAGGGUGAUCGGCCACACGGGAACUGAGACACGGUCCAGACUCCUACGGGAGGCAGCAGUAGGGAAUCUUCCGCAAUGGGCGAAAGCUUGACGGAGCAACGCCGCGUGAGUGAUGAAGGUCUUCGGAUCGUAAAACUCUGUUAUUAGGGAAGAACAAAUGUGUAAGUAACUAUGCACGUCUUGACGGUACCUAAUCAGAAAGCCACGGCUAACUACGUG